GAUGAACGCUGACAGAAUGCUUAACACAUGCAAGUCUUUGGCGAAGCUGUGCUUGCACAGCCUAGCCAAGGCGGACGGGUGAGUAACGCGUAAGGAACUUGCCCUGCAGUCAGGGAUAACAGACGGAAACGACAGAUAAGACCUGGUAAAGUCAGGUGGACUCAUGUCUAGCUUGAUGAAAAGAGAUGCUGCAGGAGAGCCUUGGGUACUAUUAGCUUGUUGGUUGGGUAACGGCCCAACAAGGCGGAGGUAGGUAGCCGGCCUGAGAGGGUGGACGGCCCAGAGGGGAACGGGAUGCCGCCCUUGCUCCUCCCGGGAGCAGCAGUGGAGAAUAAUGGACCAAUGGGGCAACCCUGAUCCAGCAAUUCUGUGUGCACGAUGAAGGUUUUCGGAUUGUAAAGUGCUUUCAGCAGGGAAGAAAAAAAUGACGGUACCUGCAGAAGAAGCGACGGCUAAAUACGUG
RNAcentral lists this ribosomal RNA (463 nucleotides) under uncultured bacterium. RNAcentral's name for it is "partial 16S ribosomal RNA". It matches the Rfam family "Bacterial small subunit ribosomal RNA", at positions 28 to 507 of the family's 1533-position model. The record is from RNAcentral.